AGUCGAGCGAACCACUUCGGUGGGAAGCGGCGAACGGGUGAGUAACACGUAGGUGAUCUGCCCAUCAGACGGGGACAACGAUUGGAAACGAUCGCUAAUACCGGAUAGGACGAAAGUUUAAAGAUGCUCCUGGCAUCACUGAUGGAUGAGCCUGCGGCGCAUUAGCUAGUUGGUGGGGUAAAGGCCUACCAAGGCGACGAUGCGUAGCCGACCUGAGAGGGUGAACGGCCACACUGGGACUGAGACACGGCCCAGACUCCUACGGGAGGCAGCAGUAGGGAAUCUUCGGCAAUGGGCGAAAGCCUGACCGAGCAACGCCGCGUGAAUGAAGAAGGCCUUCGGGUUGUAAAAUUCUGUUAUAAGGGAAGAAAGGUGAUAGGAGGGAAUGACUAUCAAUUGACGGUACCUUAUGAGAAAGCCACGGCUAACUACGUGCCAGCAGCCGCGGUAAUACGUAGGUGGCAAGCGUUAUCCGGAAUUAUUGGGCGUAAAGAGCGCGCAGGUGGUUAAUUAAGUCUGAUGUGAAAGCCCACGGCUUAACCGUGGAGGGUCAUUGGAAACUGGUUGACUUGAGUGCAGAAGAGGGAAGUGGAAUUCCAUGUGUAGCGGUGAAAUGCGUAGAGAUAUGGAGGAACACCAGUGGCGAAGGCGGCUUCCUGGUCUGCAACUGACACUGAGGCGCGAAAGCAUGGGGAGCAAACAGGAUUAGAUACCCUGGUAGUCCACGCCGUANACGAUGAGUGCUAAGUGUNGGGGGUCG
This 760-nucleotide ribosomal RNA is filed under the name uncultured bacterium. RNAcentral's name for it is "bacterial SSU rRNA". It matches the Rfam family "Bacterial small subunit ribosomal RNA", at positions 60 to 832 of the family's 1533-position model. The record is from RNAcentral.